AAAGAAGAAGAAGAAGAAGAAGAAGAAGAAGAAGAAGAAGAAGAAGAAGAAGAAGAAGAACAACAACAACAGAUGAGGGGAAUUUCGAGAGACGACACAAAGCCUGUUGCUCCACCAGCUUCGCUUUCAUUUGAGUGACGACGACAGAAGGGUCAACUUCUAGGAAGAGACAACCAUUGCGCUUUCACAAAUACUUUUACUUCAACAAAUUUGAGCAUUUUUAAAGAUCUAUUCGUAAGUUAUCGUCUCGUGAUACAUUUUAGAAGGCGACUAUCUCGACAUACAUCGUUUAUAUCGACGUUAUCAGAACAAAGGAUUCAAGCCACAGUCGACCUGCCUGUGCCAGAAAUCGAAAGAAUGGCCAAGGGAAACGACUCACUCUCUGAAAUGGCCCACGCUCGUCAGAGUGAUGGCAUCAGUGUAAUCUUUGACCAGAAAAGCCCUGCCUCAUCUCGCUCUCGCUCCCGAUCCAAAAGCAGCCGUGGCAGCGGCCACUCCUCUGGCUCUGGCCGCUACAGGGGACGUGGGAGCCACAGGGGCCGUUACAAGUCUCCAUCACCUUCUUCAUCUUCUAAAACCUCGUCUUCAUCCAGCAGCAGGUCCCGCUCUCACCCUAGGUCCCGCUCUCACCCUCGUUGCCACAGACAUUCUUCCCGCUGUCGCUGUGAUAACCAUCACAGGUAUGGCCGUGGCCGCUACCACCGCUCCCCGAAACGCCCCUACAGGGCCCACUCUCGCUCCUACAGCCGCUCGCCUUCUCCAGACAGGUACUCGCGUCACAGACACUCCAGGUCCCGCUCCAGGUCUUCUAGCCGUUGGAGCAGGUACAGGAGGGCUGCGAGCCGGUUUAGAUGCAGGUUUCCCCGAUCCCCAUCCAGAACCCACAGAAGCUGCUCAAAGACCAUAUCUUCAGGACGCUCUGUCAGUUUGAGUUUGGAUGAUAAAAGAGAACUCCUCAAAGCUGCAAAGGCCAAUGCUAUGAAGAUCCUAGGAGUGGAGAAGCUGGAACUUCCUGAGAGUGUGAAACCAAUCCUGUCAGAGCCAUCGAUGGAGUCCAAAUGGGUGUCGCCAGAGACAAGGGUGAGACAAGACCCUGAAAAGACUCAGUCACAGGUGGGUGUCUUGAGAGUGAAUGUCAGCUUCACAUGGAACACACCACACACUAAAGAUAAGGCUUCGUCACAGAUUCUAAUUCAAGUUAUUUUUUUCUAUCAUGGACUAGAUAUAAAUACAAGGUAAAGGGUGUUAAGAAUUUUAGGGAUAGCUAAUAGUUUUUCAUACCACUUGUGCAUAACAGUGCACUGACCAUUAAUGGACACACAUCUUUGACUGUACAGGAAGAAUUAUUAUAUUAUAAAAGUUGAUCCUAGCUGUCACACGAUUUUCUCAAAGUUGCAACAAAUAUACAGUAUAUCAAGCACGGUGUAAUGUCUACAGUUGUCUAUUGAUAAGCGUGAGGUCUAUAUGUUGUGUUGAAUUUCCUGUGUCUUGUGUUAACCUUUGGACCCCUGAGGGAACACACAUACUCUCUGUAUUUAUUCCUGUCUUCAUAGAUAACAUGACAGUGGUCUCCUUCACUCAUCGGCACCUGGGAUUAAAGGGCUGUCAUGUGACUUGGGUGACGACAAUAUGUGUUUGUGUGAAAGUUGAAAUGGGUCGUUAUAUAACAGAAUCCUCCACUCGCUGAUGGAGCGCAGGCGUGUGGACUGCGUUAUAGUGACUAUUCCUGUCAAGAGAACUAAAAACAGACGAAGAACUCCUCUCCGUAUGUCAAAGAUAAGUUGGUACAUGAGCCGUGUGCUGAGGGGCUGGGAAACCUACGUCACCAUCAUUCUGCCACUGUAGACAGAGAAGACAUCCUUUUUACUUUGAUAUUUUGUUUGUAUUUUUUUGUUUUAUUCUGUUUCAAGGUCUGUCCUUGAAGCAUUCAUUUAAUGGUCAAGCCUAGCCUUUGACAGCAGGGGGGUGUGUGUGCAUGAGAGCUGCAGUUUGUUGAAGCUAACACUUAAAUAAUUAUCUAUGCAAUAGAAGUGCUUUACAGUAUUAGUAAUGGAAGCUAUAAUCCAGCUAUAUGACCUUCACAAACUGUCAAAGCUCACUCUACCAUCAGUUUCACACGCAUAUCUAACUAGGUCUGUUUCUUUUUUCAGAACAGUGAGGUGGAGCCUGAUGAUAUGUCCUGCUCAACGAUGU
This is an RNA transcript of Siniperca chuatsi (mandarin fish), 2193 nucleotides long. It is a transcript of the gene named arginine/serine-rich protein 1, with no coding region annotated. The record is from RefSeq and is a predicted model, not a curated record. The transcript is spliced from 4 exons. NCBI's taxonomy places the organism in Eukaryota, Metazoa, Chordata, Actinopteri, Centrarchiformes, Sinipercidae.